UCGUCAGCUCGUGUCGUGAGAUGUUGGGUUAAGUCCCGCAACGAGCGCAACCCUUAUUGUUAGUUACCAGCACGUAAUGGUGGGGACUUUAGCAAGACUGCCAGUGAUAAAUUGGAGGAAGGUGGGGACGACGUCAAAUCAUCAUGCCCCUUAUGACCUGGGCUACAAACGUGAUACAAUGGCUGUUACAAAGGGUAGCUGAAGCGCAAGUUUUUGGCGAAUCUCAAAAAAACAGUCUCAGUUCGGAUUGAAGUCUGCAACUCGACUUCAUGAAGUUGGAAUCGCUAGUAAUCGCGAAUCAGCAUGUCGCGGUGAAUACGUUCUCGGGGUUUGUACACACCGCCCGUCAAACCACGAAAGUUGGCAAUACCCAAAGCCGGUGGCCUAACUUCGCAAGAAGAGGGAACC
Molecule: ribosomal RNA, 408 nt
Filed under: Candidatus Regiella insecticola
Lineage: Bacteria; Pseudomonadati; Pseudomonadota; Gammaproteobacteria; Enterobacterales; Enterobacteriaceae
Description: bacterial SSU rRNA
Rfam family: Bacterial small subunit ribosomal RNA
Source: RNAcentral